RNAcentral lists this unclassified non-coding RNA (427 nucleotides) under plant metagenome. RNAcentral describes it as "partial contains 5.8S ribosomal RNA, internal transcribed spacer 2, and large subunit ribosomal RNA". It matches the Rfam family "Bacterial small subunit ribosomal RNA", at positions 358 to 777 of the family's 1533-position model. The record is from RNAcentral.
GGAAUCUUCCACAAUGGACGAAAGUCUGAUGGAGCAACGCCGCGUGAGUGAAGAAGGGUUUCGGCUCGUAAAGCUCUGUUGGUAGUGAAGAAAGAUAGAGGUAGUAACUGGCCUUUAUUUGACGGUAAUUACUUAGAAAGUCACGGCUAACUACGUGCCAGCAGCCGCGGUAAUACGUAGGUGGCAAGCGUUGUCCGGAUUUAUUGGGCGUAAAGCGAGUGCAGGCGGUUCAAUAAGUCUGAUGUGAAAGCCUUCGGCUCAACCGGAGAAUUGCAUCAGAAACUGUUGAACUUGAGUGCAGAAGAGGAGAGUGGAACUCCAUGUGUAGCGGUGGAAUGCGUAGAUAUAUGGAAGAACACCAGUGGCGAAGGCGGCUCUCUGGUCUGCAACUGACGCUGAGGCUCGAAAGCAUGGGUAGCGAACAGGA